AGCCCUUGACAUGGUCGGACGGUUUCCAGAGAUGGAUUCCUUCACUUCGGUGACUGACACACAGGUGCUGCAUGGCUGUCGUCAGCUCGUGUCGUGAGAUGUUGGGUUAAGUCCCGCAACGAGCGCAACCCUCGCCUUUAGUUGCCAUCAUUUAGUUGGGCACUCUAGAGGGACUGCCGGUGAUAAGCCGGAGGAAGGUGGGGAUGACGUCAAGUCUUCAUGGCCCUUACGGGCUGGG
Molecule: ribosomal RNA, 238 nt
Filed under: uncultured bacterium
Lineage: Bacteria
Description: partial 16S ribosomal RNA
Rfam family: Bacterial small subunit ribosomal RNA
Source: RNAcentral